Molecule: microRNA precursor, 209 nt
Filed under: Oryza sativa Indica Group (long-grained rice)
Lineage: Eukaryota; Viridiplantae; Streptophyta; Magnoliopsida; Poales; Poaceae
Description: MIR812 microRNA precursor family
Rfam family: MIR812 microRNA precursor family
Source: Rfam by way of RNAcentral
AAUAAGUGCAGCCGUAGAUAUCCAUGUCCAACGUUUGACCGUUCGUCUUAUUUGAAAAAUUUGUGAAAAAAAUAAAAAAAAUUUAGUCACACAUAAAGUACUAUUCAUGUUUUAUCAUCUAAUAACAAUAAAAAUACUAAUCAUAAAAAAUUUUCAAAUAAGACGAACGAUCAAACGUUGAACGUGAAUAGUGCAAAACUGAACUUAUA